UCCAGACUCCUACGGGAGGCAGCAGUGAGGAAUAUUGGUCAAUGGGCGGAAGCCUGAACCAGCCAAGUCGCGUGAGGGAAUAAGGCCCUACGGGUCGUAAACCUCUUUUGCCGGGGAGCAAGGGCGGGGACGUGUCCCGGCCCGGAGAGUACCCGGAGAAAAAGCAUCGGCUAACUCCGUGCCAGCAGCCGCGGUAAUACGGAGGAUGCGAGCGUUAUCCGGAUUUAUUGGGUUUAAAGGGUGCGUAGGCGGGCUUUUAAGUCAGCGGUAAAAAUUCGGGGCUCAACCCCGUCCGGCCGUUGAAACUGUGUCCCUUGAGUGCGCGAAGGGUAGGCGGAAUGCGUGGUGUAGCGGUGAAAUGCAUAGAUAUCACGCAGAACUCCGAUCGCGAAGGCAGCCUACCGGCGCGCAACUGACGCUCAUGCACGAAAGCGUGGGUAUCGAACAGGAUUAGAUACCCUAGUA
This 465-nucleotide ribosomal RNA is filed under the name uncultured bacterium. Its description in RNAcentral is "bacterial SSU rRNA". It matches the Rfam family "Bacterial small subunit ribosomal RNA", at positions 330 to 792 of the family's 1533-position model. The record is from RNAcentral.